Long non-coding RNA from Zonotrichia leucophrys gambelii, 1257 nucleotides. RefSeq lists it as uncharacterized. Lineage: Eukaryota; Metazoa; Chordata; Aves; Passeriformes; Passerellidae. The record is from RefSeq and is a predicted model, not a curated record. The transcript has 5 exons.
AAAAAAUCCCGAAAAAAAAAAAAGAACCGCAUUUCCUUUUUGACUUAAGAGGGAGAGAGAGAGAGAGAAGCGGAGGCUGGGGGCUGGUGGACGCAUCGAGCUAUUCCUCGUCCCGAUUGUGAACUUGGCAGCGGCUCUUUGGCUCGAACAACCCCAGUGGCCACUAACCAGGAACACCUGCUGGUUACCCGGAACGGGAGGGAGGAGAAGAUGGGCAUCUCCAGCGGAAUUCCAGCGCGGAAUAUGGAAGUGUUUAAAGGAAGACCUUCCGCAGCUCAGGGUAGCAGAGAUCUGAACCUUUAAAUUGCAGCCAUUCCCGGCCUGACGAUAAGUGAUUCACAGGCCUAGAUGACCUGUUUGAUGCUGGAGCUGGAUUUGAUUUGAAUCCUGGACUGUGAAGCCAUGCAGGGAUGUAUCUGUGGAUCUGGAUCACACUCAGAUCACUCCAUAGUUAAUUUUUAUGCGGACCAAAUGAAUUCUUGGGCUCUCUGGUGAAGGGAGAAAAGUAGGGAGUGAUUAACAGCAGGACCUCAGCUUCCUUCUCACUGAAUCAUGAGCUUUUCCUGAAGCCACGGUAGGAGCUGUGCUGGAAAUGGUGCCGUGGGAGUCUGCAUCCCAGGUCAGGAGACCAGACAUCAAAUCCCUGGUGCAUCUUGGCAGCUGGGAGCGCUCCAGCAAACCAGGAAUGCUCCAGCAGACCCUGACAAAGCUGCUGCUGGGAGCACAUCACCAGCGGUGCAAAUGGACAAUGUUUAGCACUUCUGGCUGCCCAAAAGACACCGUGGCCCAACCACCUGCUCUGGAUCUGCAGGCUGAGCUCCACAGGUGCUGCCAACACUUCCCAAGCCAUCACUGCUCUGGAAACAGGAAUUUCUCUCUUUUUCUGAACAAACUAUGGUGACCUGAAACACGACUGAUACUUGGGGCUUCUUGGGAGCAGCCCUGUCAGGGAGGGAGCUGAAGGAUAUUAAUUUUUGGGAUGAUAACAACAUCUUUUAAUGAAAGGGGAGGUUUGGCCUCCAAGGGCUUUGCCUUGGGGAGAGGGUGUGAAGGGGAGCAGCCCCUGAGCCCUGGGUUUGCCAUGCUGGCUGGAGGGCGUGAGAAGAACGGGGUUUGUACCUCUGCCAAGCCCUUCCCUGCUGCUCUUGGGGAAACCAAGCUGCAAAAAGCUCUUUCCUGCAGAGUGUCACAAGGAUUCUCUUCAACUUGGCUUCAGGAAAUGAUUCAAUUAUUUUCUUUUAUUUUUUAAAAAAUCUA